GGGGUUGUGGCUCAGCGGUAGAGCGCUCACCUGGCAUGUGCGAGGUCCUGGGUUCGAUCCGCAGUGCCACA
RNAcentral lists this transfer RNA (71 nucleotides) under Marmota monax (woodchuck). RNAcentral describes it as "tRNA.Ala". It matches the Rfam family "tRNA". From Rfam's summary of the family: Transfer RNA (tRNA) molecules are approximately 80 nucleotides in length. The record is from RNAcentral. Lineage: Eukaryota; Metazoa; Chordata; Mammalia; Rodentia; Sciuridae.